GAUGAACGCUGACAGAAUGCUUAACACAUGCAAGUCAUUGGCGAAGCUGCGCUUGCGCAGUCUAGCCAAGGCGGACGGGUGAGUAACGCGUAAGGAACUUGCCCUGCAGACAGGGAUAACAGACGGAAACGACUGAUAACACCUGGUAUUGUCAGGCUGGCGCAUGCCGGCCUGAUGAAAGGAGACGCUGCAGGAGAGCCUUGCGUCCUAUUAGCUAGUUGGUGGGGUAACGGCCCACCAAGGCGAUGAUAGGUAGCCGGCCUGAGAGGGUGAACGGCCACAAGGGGACUGGGAUACGGCCCUUACUCCUACGGGAGGCAGCAGUGGGGAAUAUUGGACAAUGGGGGCAACGCUGAUCCAGCAAUUCUGUGUGCACGAAGAAGGUUUUCGGAUUGUAAAGUGCUUUCAGCAGGGAAGAAGAAAGUGACGGUACCUGCAGAAGAAGCGACGGCUAAAUACGUG
This 462-nucleotide ribosomal RNA is filed under the name uncultured bacterium. RNAcentral's name for it is "partial 16S ribosomal RNA". It matches the Rfam family "Bacterial small subunit ribosomal RNA", at positions 28 to 507 of the family's 1533-position model. The record is from RNAcentral.